This 67-nucleotide transfer RNA is filed under the name Gekko badenii (golden gecko). Its description in RNAcentral is "tRNA-Trp". Lineage: Eukaryota; Metazoa; Chordata; Lepidosauria; Squamata; Gekkonidae. The record is from RNAcentral.
AGAAAUUUAGGUUAUUCUUAAACCAGGAGCCUUCAAAGCACCAAACAGGGCCAUCCCCUAAUUUCUG